UUUGAUAUCUUGGCUGUGUGCUUAGGGUCACUGUCCUGCUGAAAGAUGAACCAUCACCCCAAUGUGAGGUGAAGAGCACUCAGGAGCAGAUUUUUUAUCCAGGAUGUCUCUGUACAUUGCUGCAUUCAUCUUUCCCUCAAUCUUGACUAGUCUCCCAGUUCCUGCCA
This is a long non-coding RNA of Thalassophryne amazonica, 167 nucleotides long. RefSeq lists it as uncharacterized. NCBI's taxonomy places the organism in Eukaryota, Metazoa, Chordata, Actinopteri, Batrachoidiformes, Batrachoididae. The record is from RefSeq and is a predicted model, not a curated record. The transcript is spliced from 2 exons.